CCUGCUGUACCGCCACAACUACAAUGCAAGCGGCUGCAAGUGGUUGCUUGUUAUACCCCGAACCUCCGCUCCGACAUCUGUGCCACGUUCCACGACGACCCACAAUGCAGCCACGCUGAUGUAUUAAAGACAUACUCUCGCCUCCAGCUUCGGUAAUACUGGCGCGGUAUGUACCGUUUCGUUCGCCAGUAUGUCCGGACAUGCCACAUAUGCCAAUGAGGCAACGCGCCACCUCAACCUAUUACCGGCCCCUUGCAACCUUUACCAUGCCCCUUUACGGUCCACUUCCCAACACUCCAAGUCACAACCGUUGGGUUAUUGUUGCUAUCAACCACCUCAUUCGGUACGCUGAAACUUCGGCACUAGCAUCUGCCACAGCAAAAGACGUCGCCAGUUUUAUCCUUCAAAACCUGAUUUUUUUACGCCAUGGAGCACCUUGAGAAUUACUGAGCGACCGCGGUCACGCUUUCCUCUCCGACGCCAUUUCAGCAUUGCUAAAGGAGUUUCGCAUCAUUCACCGCGCUACCACGGCAUAUCAUCCUCAAACUAAUGGGAUGACAGAACGUUUCAACUGCACCCUUGGCGACAUGUUGGCCAUAUACGUUUCAUCUGACCACUCGAAUUAGGAUCGCAUUCUGCCUUUUGUCACCUACGCUUACAGUACUGCCACACAAAGCACCACUGGGUUCUCCACUUUCUUUCUCCUUUACAGACACGAACCUUCAUGCACUAUGGACACGAUUCUACCUUACCGGCCAGAGGCUUUGGAGUGGAUGACUGUUUCUAGGGCGGCUGCUUACACCGAAGAAUGACGCCAGCUCACUUGUUCGUUCACAUCCCAGGACCAGUGGUGCAAGAAGCAUCGCCACGAUUCAUCCACUACGGCAAUGAGCUUUGCUUCUGGCUCGCUGGUCUGGCUAAGGGUGGCUUCUACUCCUCCAGGCCUUUUCUCCAAGCUGCUCUCCAAGUACCAUUGCCCUUAUCAAGUACUAAAACAAACAUCCGCAGUCAACUACCUCAUCGAGCCAAUGGAAGCGCUUUCCGACCAGCAUCGUCGCGGCCAAAGUGUCCACGUCUCCCGGCUCAAGCAGUGCCAUGACCCUCCCAUGUUCUCGUGUCCUUAGGUUGCCAGGAUGGCGACUCUUUCGGUGGGGGAGUGAUUGUACUGAAGGCACUGCGCAGUGGGCUAGUGCUGGUGAAAGAGAAGGCAACAAGAAUUGCUUGCUUCCCUGUUUCGCUAUACUACUACCAACCUGUUUAAGCCUAUCGCUACAACCUAGAACUAAUGCUGCUAGGCGAACACCCCCUUUGUAGUACACCUUCCUUUUCAGUGAGAAUGGUAAGCUUCCAGUGAGGAGUUGACACUGUCUACCGUAUGCGAUCCAACUCAAUUUUAUUCUAUGAAUUUGCUUUUCAUGAUCAGGGUUCCCUGUGGUUAGUUGACCUAGGUAAACGUACUCCUUCAUAGACUCUAGAGGCUGACUGGCUAUCCUGAACUCUUGUUGCCUUGCCUGGUUAUUCAUCAUUAUCUUUGUUUUCUGCAUAUUAAUCUUCAACCCCACUCUUACACUCUCUCAUGUUUAAAUCCUCAAUCAUUUGUUGUGACUCGUCUGCAUUGUUGCUGAAUAGAACGUCAUCGGCAAAUCGAAGCUUGCUGAUAUUGGCCAUCGAUCCUUACUCCUAAGCCUUCCUAGUUUAAUAGCUUGAAUACUUCUUCCAAGCAUGCAGUAAAUAACAUUGGAGAGAUUGUGUCUCUCUAUCUAACCCCUUUCUUUGUAGGUAUCCUCCUGCUUUUCUUGUGUAGAAUAAGGGUAGCUGUGGAACCUCUGUAGAUAUUCUCCAAGGUAUUUACGUAAGCAUUCUGUACUCCUUAAUUAUCUAAUGCCUCUAUGACUGCUGGUAUCUCUACUUAAUCAAAUGCUUUUUUGUAAUCUAUGAAAGCCAUAUAGAGAGGCUUAUUGUACUCUGCAGAUUUCUUGAUAAUCUGAUUAAUGACAUGAAUGUGGUCCAUUGUAUAAUAUCCCUUCCUGAAGCCAGCUUGUUCCCUUGGUUUACUAAAUUCCAGUGUUGACUUUAUUCUAUAGGAAGUUAGUUUGGUAAAUAUUUUAUAUAAUACUGGGAGUAAGCUAACGGGUCUAUAAUUUUUCAAUUCUUUAAUGUCUCCCUUUUAUAACGUUUGCAUUCUUCCAGUUUUCUGGAAACCUUGCAGUCGACUGACACUUCGUAUAAAGAGCGGCCAGUUUUUCAAGCAUUACCUCCUCCAUCUUUGAUUAAAUCGACUGUUAUUCCAUCUUCUCCUGCCGCUCUUCCUCAUUCCAUGUCUUUCAAGGCCCUUCUAACCUCAUCGCUAGCUAUAGGAGGAGUUUCUGUGUCCUGUUCAUUACUGUUCCUAAUUGAGGUACCCUGGCUCCUCUGGUUACUGCACAGGUCGGUAUAGAAUUCUUCCGCUGCUUUUAGUAUAUCUUCGAGAUUGCUGAUGAUAUUACCCUGCUUAUCUUUCAGUGCAUACAUCUUAUUUUGUCCUAUGCCAAGUUUCUUUCUCACCGAUUUCAGGCUGCGUCCAUUUUUUACGGCUUCUUCCGUCUUUUCACGUUAUAGUUACGAAUAUCCCUUAUUUUCGCCUUGUUGAUCAGUUUUGAUAGUUCCGCGAAUUCUAAUGUUGUGCACUUUCAUUCUUUGUCGUUUCUUUAUUAGGUCCUUUGUUACUUGGGAGAGCUCGCCCACUUGUUGCCUUGGUGCCUUGCCUCCCACUUCAGUUGCUGCGUCUGAAACCAGCCUAGUUACUGUUUAAUUCAUUAUCUCUAUGUCAUCUUCAUCUCUCUGUUUUAAGGCUGCAUAUUUGUUUGCAAGUACCAGCCUGAAUUUGUCUGCUUUUACCCUUAGUGCCUCUAGGUUGACCUGUUUCUUCAUGACCAAUUUUACUCUCUCUCUCUCUCUUCAAAUUGAGGUGAAUCAUAGCCCUCACUAACCUAUGAUCACAGCACUUUUCCCUGUCUAUCACUUCUACAUCCUGCACUAUGCUGGGAUCAGCAGAAAGUAUGAAGUCAAUUUCGUUUCUUGUUUCACCAUUAAGGCUUCUCCAGGUCCACUUUCUGUUGCUACGCUUCCUGAAAAAGGUGUUCAUUAUUCGAAGCUUAUUCCUUUCUAUGAAUUCUACCAGCAUCUCUCCACUAGCAUUCCUUGAGUCAAUGCUAUAGUUGCCAAUUGCUUAUCCACCAGCCAGCUUUUUCCCCACUUUUGUAUUGAAGUCGUACAUUACUACAGUAUACCGAGUCUGCACUUUUCUCAUCACUGAUUCAACAUCUUCAUAAAACUGAUCUACAUCAUCAUUGUGACUGCAUGUUGGAACAUAGGCUUGUACUACCUUUAAUCUAUACAUCUUAUUAAUUUUGAUUACAUAACAGCUACCCUCUCAUUAAUGCUGUAUAGUUCAUCAAUGUUGCUCGCUAUGUCCUUAUGGAUUAGGAAUCCUACCCUGUAUUGCUUCUUAUCUGGGAGACCUCUAUAGCAGAGGACAUGUCCGUUAUUCAGCAAUGUAUAAGCCUCACCAGUUCUUCUAAUCUCACCAAGGCUGAUAAUAUCCCAAACAAUGUCUGAUAGUUCGCCAAAGAGACCUGCUAUGCUAGCCUCACUCGACAGAGUUCGGCAAUUAAAGGUUGACAGGAUCAGUUUCCAUUGGCAGCCUGUCCGAAUCCAGAGAAUCUUAGCACCCUCUGCCGUAGAGUUUCUCACUAUAUUACCUAGAGGGAAAUCUGGCGCUGCUUUGCUGUGGUAUGCAUGAGAAUGCUGGUAUAUUGUGACUUCGGAUUGGCAUCGUUGUCAGAGAGCCAGGACACCUUGAACGCCUGGCAAGUACCGUUCUGUCUGUCACAAUGAUUCAUUUUCUACUAAAACAGGCACGUAAAAAGCUGUUUUAGCUUUAUUAUUACGCAAGAACAUGUUUUGCUUAACUAUGAGAACUUGUAUUGCAUGUACAUUAUAUGAUAUGUAAAUAGUAUGAGUGGGCUGCUAAAGUUACAUGAGGACAGACAACAAAAUUUGCGCUCGCUUUGAAACAGUUUGUCGUCUUUUCUUGCUUUUCUUCGCUUGGUCGUGCAUAAGUAGGUGAGUAAAGAUGUAAUGUGCGUGAAUGGAAACAUUUUAUGAAGAUUUUACUUUAAGAAUGCAUUAUUUGUGUAGCCAUAACCACAUUUUAGACAAAGCCUCUUACAACACCAGCCAACAGAAGCCUCGCAGACACAUAUACCGUCAUUCCCAUGACGGCACAACACCCCUUAGGAAACUCCCAUAGAUGCUGGUGCCAGAUUUCCCUCUAGGUGUUAUAGUGAGAAACUCUAUGCCUUCUGCUGCAUUACAGGCCUGACUGGCGCCUUGGUCAGGUGCUCUGCAGCUGCUGGGGACUAAGGGCUGUGGGUGAAUUGUAGGGAUCAUUUGGGAGGUGGUGGCCGAAUACUGCACCAGGGAGGCCAAUUCCUGUUCUGGUGUGGGAGUGUCUUUGUAGAAGCUUAGUGAGCCUUCCUAAUUUGGUUGUACCUGGAUUAGUAUAGUCGCACUCGCUCUUGGCGUCUUUUGCCAGUGUCAAGCGCCACUCCAAGCCUGUAGAUGUUGUGCUCUGUAUAUAUGCAGGAACAAAACUGUUUUGCAACAUACUUAUUCAGUAAAUGGCAUUGUACUUAAGGAAUCGCCACCUGUUAAAUAUCUAUUACACAUAAUUUGAGUUGAGAUCUUCUUGUUGAUACAAUCUGCACCAACGCUUUUAAAUCUCUCCAGUUCUUUCAAAGCAGGCUUUCAAAAGCCCCUAUGAAAGUGAAACUAGCAGCAUAUAAAGCGUUGGUCCGGCCAUAUCUGGAGUAUGCUUCAUGCCUAUGGGGCCCUUAUAGACAGAAAGACGUCAAGUUAGAAAAAGUUCAAAGAUCAGUGGUCACAUUCAUUUGCAGUGAAUAUAAACACAUUGAUAGUGUGACAGAAAUGAUUAUUUUUGUCUUGGUACUCUUAAAGCUAGGCAUGCUGAAUGCAGAUUAACUUAACACAAAUUAACAAUCACAAUUUCAUUACCCGCCACACUCCGUAUACAAGCUCAUGUUUUAAUCAUGGGAAAAUGAUCCAGGAAUGCAGUGCUCUAAUGAUGCUUUUAAAUGCUCAUUUUUUCCCAGAACCAUAAACACAUAGAACAAAUUGCCAGGUCAUAUUGUUGAUAGUCGCGGUGUUGAAGUGUUUAUUACAAACUUGAAGAAAAUGCAUGGGUGAAGGUGUACUUGUAUUCUUGUAAUGUUUGAAUUGCAGUGCUUCAUGCCUUGGUUUCCUGUAUUUGGUUCUUAUUACCAUUGAUGUCUUCUUCAGAUGUACUUCUUUCUUUGUGCCCACUCCUGCUUGGAGUCAAGCAACAUUGCAGCAUUCCUAAAUGAAGUUUUUCAUUGAAUGAAGCGUGUCACAUGGCAGUGUGAUCUCGCAAUAAUGCUCUUUCCACAGUCAAUGGUAAAUGAGCUUGUAUAUGUGGCCCACGCAAGUAUUAUGCAAGUUAGCAUUGCUGAACAAAAAUUGAUUGACAUCUCAUAUCUACAUCUAUCUUUACUGCAGCAUGCAGCUCACUCUUUAGCAUGCGCAGAAUGUUGCAACAGCCACUCCUUACAACACAGUGUAUUCACGUAUUAUAGCCUGGACCUGCCUGAAAGAGGACCAUUUGAAUGAAAAAGUGUAUUAUGGAUUAUAAUUGUGAUUAAUGGUGUCUCAGCGGGGAGUUUCUAAGCAAAUACUUUGAACCAUGUGAUUUAAACAGUGCUAUCUUUCUUAUGGUUAAAUGUGGAGGACAAGCUAUCAGAUUGGACAGAGGCCAGCUCAUGAUGUCGUAAAAGUCUUCUUUAGGUGGCUGUGCAUGCCUGUUGAAGCAUGUGCCUGAUCAUAGCAUAUUGUUACGCAAAGGACGAGUCGGUAAGAUGAGCAACUAUUUACAGGUUAUAUUUACAACAGCGGUUGCAGCGCUGACCGAUUAGGUUCACGGCACGAGCCCAGUUUGUUCUUCCUCCUCUUUUCUCGAGAGAUGGCGCCCACGCAUGUCGUUCAAACAAUCAAAUACCAUGCGCCUGUAGCAUAAUCCCCCGGCAGCAGAAGCGACAUCCCGGAGCGUCUAAAUGUCAUCACUGGGAAGGUGAUACUGCUUCAGUCAUGUAACGUGCGCAAUAUCACUGGACUGGGAAGCAGAUGGGGCGUCAGUGGUGAUCUCAUGGGUGACAGGAGUCAUGGCAUGAAGCACUCGCUAUGGGCCUGUGUAACGAGACAGCAGUUUUUCAGCAGGCUGAGCUGACACGACGGGGACUGGGAAGUUCGUGGAGAACAGCCGAGCGGAGGUGUUUAGGGAUCACAAGGAGUAAUGCAGGGCCGUCGGGGUGAGCGUUGUGGUGGUAGAGUAUGCCAUCUUGAAGUGUGAAUAAGCAGAGGGAACUGUCGGCAAGUGACGAUUCCAGGCCGUCAAUGAUGAUACACAAGGACGGGUCAUGGCGCUGCUUGUCGGCAACAUGGAGCAGUGGAAAAACGGAGAACACAGGCGUCAGUGUCAGUAUCAGACAUAGAGGUCGCAUCUUCGACUGGGUAGGGAGAGAGGCAGUCUGUGUCCUGGUGUUGGCGUCGCGACUUGUAAGUCACUGUGUAGGGAUAGUCUUGUAGUCAGAGGGCCCAACGACCGAGCAGGUCAGUAGGAUCCUUCAGUGACGAAAGCCAACACAGCUCAUGAUGGUCUGUGAUUACUGAGAAGGGCUUGCCAUAUAAAUAUGGGCGGAACUUGGAAACAGCCCAGACGAGAGCAAGACAUUCGCACUCGGUAAUCGAAUAGUUGCACUCUGCAGUUGCCAGGAGCCGGCUAGCGUAGGCUAUAAUACGGUCGUGUCCAUGUUGGCGUUGUGAUAAGAUGGCGCCGAUCCCAUAACCACUGGCAUCGGUUUGGACCUCUGUAGGUGUGGAUGGGUCAAAGUGGGCCAAGACCAGUGGAUUGUUGAGAAUCGUGAUAAGGCGGGAAAAUGCAGCAGCCUGAGGGGAACCCCACGUAAAAGGCACGUCUUUCUUCAGAAGUUCAGUGAGUGGUCGAGUGAUUGCUGCGAAAUCUGUCACCAACCGUCGGAAAUAAGAACAGAGCGCCACAAAACUCCGGACGUCCUUGACAGACUGAGGUACAGGAAAAGCCGUUACUGCUUGAACCUUCUCCGGGUCGGGUUGUACUCUGGAAGUAUAAACGAGAUGACCUACACUGUAAUCUGUCGGCACCCAAAGUGGCACUUCGAUGAGUCUAACUGGAGCCCAGCCUUGCUGAAGACAUCAAGGAUAGCUGCGACGCGCUCAUGGUGCGUAUAAAAUGUAGGAGAAAACACAAGGACGUCGUCGAGGUAACAAAGGCAGGUUGACCAUUUGAAACCUUGAAGCAGAGAGUCAAUCAUUCGUCCGUACAGGGCGGGGGCAUUGCAUAAACCAAACGGCAUAACCUUGAAUUGGUAGAGGCCAUCUGGAGUGACGAAAGAAGUCUUUUCUUGGUCUUGCUCAUCAACAGAAAUCUGCCAAUAUCCAGAUCGAAGGUUGAUGGAAGAAAAGUAUUUGGCGCUGUGAAGACAAGAGCAUCGUCGAUUCAUGGUAAAGGGUAGACGUCCUUUUUAGUAAUUCGGUUUAGGUUGCGGUAAUUAACACAGAAACGCCACAUGCCAUCUUUCUUUUUGACAAGCACGACCGGCGACUCCCAAGGACUUGACGAGGGCUUAACAAUGCCUCUGGCCAGCAUCUUGUUUACUUCCUGUUGAAUAACUUGCCGUUCUGCCGUGGACACGGUAAUGUCAGCAGUGAAUAAGAACAGCAUCACCAGUGUUUAUCUGAUGCUUAACAAGGGGCGUCUGACCAAGUGGUCAAUUGUCAUUGUCAAAUAUGUCGCGGUAGGAAAGCAAAAGGCAAUGUAGGGCGGCUGCUUGGUCAGGUGCGAGGUCCAGAGCGACCAUGGGACGUAAUGGUUCGUCAAGGUUCAAGGCAUCCUGUGGGUAAUCGGGAGGAUCUGGAGACGCGUCGGCUGCAAAAGUAGUGACGUGGUCAUCUGUCACGGGCCGCAGCGUGGCCACCACUAUGCCUUCAGCUAACGCUUGCUUCAUCAAGCCAAAAUUGAUAACGGGGAGACACAUCCGAUUAGCGGCAAGGGUUACGACGGAGUGUGACACAGAGAUAUCGCACGCCAGGAGGACAUCACGAAUAGGUGCGACGAUAUAGUCGCCAUUAGGCGCAGUUGCCGUUGAGGCCAAUUCGACGAAGGUGAGGGCUUUUGGAGGUAAGCAAACCAACGCUGUAGUGCAGAGGGUGUUCGGUUGUUCGAGGCGAACGUCUGAAAGAAGAGGAAGCUCGAGGCACAGCGUACCGGUGGAACAGUUGACGAGAGCAGAAUGCGUCGUCAGAAAGUCGAGCCCAAAGAUUAAGUCACGAGGGCAACUGGUCAGCACGGUGAACAGGACUGGAACUUGGCGGCCAGCAAUUCCUAUGCGAGCAAUGCGAAUUCCCCUGACGGCAACAGUGGCACCAUUGGUGACACGUAUGGCUCAAGUGAUGGCAGGCGUAAGAACUUUUUUGAGGCGACGACAUAGGUUAGCGCUCAUUAUGGGCACUUGGGCUCCAGUAUCAAUCAUUGCCGUCAAUGGAACACCAUCUAUGUCUACUUCAAUUAGGUUUGUGUUGGUGAGGAGCGUCUAUGGAGGAUUUGGACAGGACGAACGUGAUGCAGCAAUAUUUAGAAGGUGCAGUGUGAACUGUAGGUUGCUUGUGGGCAUUGUUCACAAAGAACACUGCCAUCUCAAGUGGCUGCUGUCUUAGGCUCUUCUGCUCAUUUGUUUUUGCAGCUGCUGCAGUACGAUUGGAAAGAACUGCUUAUGGAUGUUGUGUGCAGUACCAAUAAUUUGAGGAUUUCAAAUAGUAUGAAGACAUUAAAUGUAUGGACUUACAAGUAUGAUGAAUGGACAUUUGUCAGUUUUGGGUGCUCGUACUCAGCCUAGAAACUUAAGCUUGUUACGAAGAGGCACAAUCUUGAACACGAAAGCAUUAAGCUUAUUGUUGUGCUAAUAUUGUCUUACAACGUUUGGACAGAUUUGCAGAUGGAACCCAUUCAAUAUUUUUGUUACCUCUGUAAAUUGCACAACAAACAGCUCCAUGGUGGGAAUUUUUUUUCACUACUUUAUUUUUUCAUUGUGGUCACGCCUUCCACGUAAAGCGAGAGUAUUACACCAAUAUUUUGCAUGAUUUUGUUUUUAAUAAGUGUCUUUAUUCCUUUGCUCUUACCAUUUCCUUGCUUCUCAUUUUCAGGUCGUCCACUUCCCGUCGUUGAGUACAGAAAUGUCAUACUGUACGCUAAAGAAAAUGGAAGAUUGGAUGCUGCUUCUGUUUACUAUGUUUUUGCUGGAGUAUAUUCUUGACAACAAGUUGGUCAACAACUUGCUUGCACGCCAAGAAGUUGUACCGAUGAGGUUGCGUGCCAAUUUCAAGAACCAGUGUGAGGAACUAAAGAGGAGAGCAUUCUACACACACUUAAUUUUGACAUUACUUCCCGCUGCGGAUACAGAUAGGUAUCUGGCUGUACACGGUGGUAUCGUCGCAGCACACAUGCUCUUCUCUCAAGACUUCAACGACACAACUAUGCAACUGCUGCAGACUGUUUUCACUCACGAAUCAUCGGUGAUUCAAACUAUGCAAACAAUUUAUUUGACAUCACGCACACUACAGUUAAUCGUCGGAAUCUGCGGCUUGGUCAAAGAGGGAUUGGCUUGCUGCGGAAGCGGCCAACUUUGGUCUGUUGCCAUAACAGUAUUGAGUGACGUGUUUGCCCUCGGAGAGUUGGCGCUGGCGGCAAUAACACCAUUGUCUGAUAUUACUCUUCUUUAUUUUACCAAUUGAAUUAGGUAAGUGAGCUUAUACUUAUAAUUGUGUAAAUUAAUAAUUAACCCUUUAUUGAUGCCUGUUGCCUACAGGCAACAUAUCAGAAAAAUUUUUUUUACUGGCCGAGUUUUAAUAUUGAGUACGAACUUUCUAGCUUAAUAUCUUCACCAACACUGAAUGACAGGCAGCAAGUGUCAUUUGUUGCUCUAGAGCAGGAACACUGGGCGAGAAAGAAGUUUGGCACGCGACUCAGUGUGUUUUGAAAGCAAGGUCAGAGGAGACGUGUCGAUGCAAAAUAUCCAGCUGCAGCAGUGUCACACAUGUGAUGUCAUCAUCAUCAGCAGCAGCACGGUUACGCCCAAUGCAGGGCAAAGGCCUCUCC
Molecule: long non-coding RNA, 10264 nt
Filed under: Dermacentor andersoni
Lineage: Eukaryota; Metazoa; Arthropoda; Arachnida; Ixodida; Ixodidae
Description: uncharacterized LOC126517818
Source: RNAcentral